AUUGAACGCUGGCGGCAGGCCUAACACAUGCAAGUCGAGCGGAUGAAGGGAGCUUGCUCCUGGAUUCAGCGGCGGACGGGUGAGUAAUGCCUAGGAAUCUGCCUGGUAGUGGGGGAUAACGUCCGGAAACGGGCGCUAAUACCGCAUACGUCCUGAGGGAGAAAGUGGGGGAUCUUCGGACCUCACGCUAUCAUAUGAGCCUAGGUCGGAUUAGCUAGUUGGUGGGGUAAAGGCCUACCAAGGCGACGAUCCGUAACUGGUCUGAGAGGAUGAUCAGUCACACUGGAACUGAGACACGGUCCAGACUCCUACGGGAGGCAGCAGUGGGGAAUAUUGGACAAUGGGCGAAAGCCUGAUCCAGCCAUGCCGCGUGUGUAAAGAAGGUCUUCGGAUUGUAAAGCACUUUAAGUUGGGAGGAAGGGCAGUAAGUUAAUACCUUGCUGUUUUGACGUUACCAACAGAAUAAGCACCGGCUAACUUCGUG
This 484-nucleotide ribosomal RNA is filed under the name uncultured bacterium. RNAcentral's name for it is "partial 16S ribosomal RNA". It matches the Rfam family "Bacterial small subunit ribosomal RNA", at positions 30 to 507 of the family's 1533-position model. The record is from RNAcentral.